CAAAUUAGAGCUUGUGAAAGUAUUUUAUUUACAUUAAAAAGAAAAUUUUAAUUAAUUUAAUUUGA
RNAcentral lists this transfer RNA (65 nucleotides) under Tillus nitidus. RNAcentral describes it as "tRNA-Val". The record is from RNAcentral. Lineage: Eukaryota; Metazoa; Arthropoda; Insecta; Coleoptera; Cleridae.